AGUGGUGUCGUAUUACCUGCC
This 21-nucleotide microRNA is filed under the name Oryza sativa (Asian cultivated rice). RNAcentral's name for it is "osa-miR5530". The record is from miRBase by way of RNAcentral. Lineage: Eukaryota; Viridiplantae; Streptophyta; Magnoliopsida; Poales; Poaceae.